This 1314-nucleotide long non-coding RNA is filed under the name Equus caballus (horse). Its description in RNAcentral is "lncRNA (ENSECAG00000056982.1)". The record is from RNAcentral. Lineage: Eukaryota; Metazoa; Chordata; Mammalia; Perissodactyla; Equidae.
GCCACAGGCAGCCUCCUACUGGUUGUUAUUUUGGGUGCUGGAAAGCCUGCCUGUCCUGAAAUAUCUCUCCCUGCCGUCUUGCCAGGUUCUCUAAUUCCCACCACGAGAGCCAUCCUCUAGUUAAAGGCAUUGUGUCUCCAGGAGGCCCGGGUUACAGGGCAGCCACCCAUAGGCAACGCCACACAUUUAACCCAUAAUUGCCCAUCAGCCCAGAACCUGGCUGCAGAGAAAAGCUACCAGCUGUUGGUAACCGAACACUGCCUUGCUAAGAGAAGCUUUUUGACAGCCUCUUCACAUAAGUGGGGGAAAUGGGUGCCGCAAAGCUCUGGAUCAGGAGUGUAAUGGCUUCCAUGGGAGCGGCCAAAUUGCUGCAGUGAUGGCAUCUCAGCUUUCUCCUCCCAGGGCAUGGGCCAGUUAGACUUCGGAUACUGAGAGGAAUGUGGAAAUGCAAAUGGCACCAAGGAAGUGCACAUAAGUUCAUGGAUGAUGGAUCCAAUGUGGAAUCAGGGAACGCUUGGGUCACACCCUUAACCAGGCCUUAUCUCUGAGGGAAGAAGACAACUGCCUAUCCAGCUUGAGCUGAUGUCCUCCAACAUCCUGUCACUGAUGGUGGAAACUUUACAUUGUAUUGCUCAGGACCAUGUUUGGAUGCAAAUAACAUAAUACCUGAUAGAGAUUUUUUGCUGUGGUCUGAAGAAUUCUUGAAGUAGAUAUUGUACUGAGUCUUCAGCUGGUGAGAGGAUGAGGAGACAUAUCAAGUCAUUACCCUCAUGGAGUUUACAAAUAAAUAAACAUAUAAUAUGUCGGACUGGAUGAGUCGAUUCUGGGAGUGAGAGCAGAUAAAGAAAAAGCAUGAGGACUAAAGCUCAGGGCCUUCACUAUUUGGAAUUCUGGGAGAUGAGAAGGAAUCAGAAGAGAAUGCUGAGAAGGGCCGACCUGGGAAGAUGAUGGAGACUGAAGAGGAAACGGCAUCCUGGGUACGAAGUGAAUAAAUGUUUCAAAAAGGUGGGACUAAUCAGCCAUGCCACAUGAUUCCGAUCAGAAGACUGAGAACUGACCAUUGGAUCUAGCAAAUGGAGAUUACUAGCGACUUUGACAGGAGCUGUUUAGGGGGAGUAUUGGAUUUGAGAGAAAACAGGAAAGGAGGAGAUGAAGAGAGAGUAGAGACAACUCUGUGAAUUUUGCUAUGAAAAGUAACAGAGAAACCGAGAGGAAGUAUGAAGUGAAGGCAGACAUUUUAAAAGAUGGGUAAUAUUUAGCAUAGUGGUAUACUGAUGAGAAUUAUCUCAUCAAGUGGGAAAAUUUAUGUAAGAG